GGGAGGGAGGUGGCUCGCGCUCACCCUGGGGCGGGAGGAGGAGGCGGCGGCGCCACCCAGCAGCCCGAGUCGCCCCGAGCGCGAGACCCCUGAGACGGCUGCUGAUUGGCUGACGAUGGCGCAGGUGGUGGGCGCGCGGGAGACAGGGCGGCUUCUCUCCUCUUCCCCCCGCCAACGAUUCCACUCCCCCUCCCUCCGCCAGCGGCCGUUAUUUCGCGCGCACGCGCACAAGGCCGCCGUCGUUGCCGAGCGGGAGAAUGGGGGAGCGCGCGCGCCGGGGGCACGGACGGGGCGGGGCUAAUCCCUGAGCGCGCGCCCGCCUAACGGUCGCAGGCCUCAUGCUUCGGCUUCCGCUUUUUGCGUCCUGCAGGCCACCGUCCUCCCCGCCCCACCCCAGCGGUGUAUUUACAAUCCUGCGCUGAGUCGUUCCCCGAAGAUGGCGCCCAGUGGAGUCGCCUGCCUUGCUCGCGGCCCACCCCGAGGCGGUCACACCCCGGUCCCGCCCCCGCAGCCCCAAAAAUCAGGCGGAAGCACCGGAGCAAAAACUGUAUUUACACAACACGGG
Molecule: long non-coding RNA, 565 nt
Filed under: Homo sapiens (human)
Lineage: Eukaryota; Metazoa; Chordata; Mammalia; Primates; Hominidae
Description: HSALNT0229565
Source: RNAcentral